This 744-nucleotide ribosomal RNA is filed under the name uncultured bacterium. RNAcentral's name for it is "bacterial SSU rRNA". It matches the Rfam family "Bacterial small subunit ribosomal RNA", at positions 8 to 796 of the family's 1533-position model. The record is from RNAcentral.
AGAGUUUGAUCAUGGCUCAGAGCGAACGCUGGCGGCAGGCCUAACACAUGCAAAGUCGAGCGCCGUAGCAAUACGGAGCGGCAGACGGGUGAGUAACGCGUGGGAACGUGCCCUUCGGUUCGGAAUAACUCAGGGAAACUUGAGCUAAUACCGGAUACGUCCGAGAGGAGAAAGAUUUAUCGCCGAAGGAUCGGCCCGCGUAAGAUUAGCUAGUUGGUGAGGUAAUGGCUCACCAAGGCUCUGAUCUUUAGCUGGUCUGAGAGGACGAUCAGCCACACUGGGACUGAGACACGGCCCAGACUCCUACGGGAGGCAGCAGUGGGGAAUAUUGGACAAUGGGCGCAAGCCUGAUCCAGCCAUGCCGCGUGAGUGAUGAAGGCCUUAGGGUUGUAAAGCUCUUUUGGCAGGGACGAUAAUGACUGUACCUGCAGAAUAAGCCCCGGCCAACUUCGUGCCAGCAGCCGCGGUAAUACGAAGGGGGCUAGCGUUGCUCGGAAUCACUGGGCGUAAAGCGCACGUAGGCGGGUCGUUAAGUCGGGGGUGAAAUCCUGGAGCUCAACUCCAGAACUGCCUUCGAUACUGGCGAUCUUGGAGUCCGGGAGAGGUGGGUGGAACUGCGAGUGUAGAGGUGAAAUUCGUAGAUAUUCGCAAGAACACCAGUGGCGAAGGCGGCUCACUGGCCCGGUACUGACGCUGAGGUGCGAAAGCGUGGGGAGCAAACAGGAUUAGAUACCCUAGUAGUCC